Molecule: ribosomal RNA, 253 nt
Filed under: uncultured prokaryote
Description: partial 16S ribosomal RNA
Rfam family: Bacterial small subunit ribosomal RNA
Source: RNAcentral
GACGUAGGGGGCGAGCGUUGUCCGGAAUUACUGGGCGUAAAGAGCACGUAGGCGGGAACUUAAGUCAGAUGUGAAAGACCGGGGCUCAACUCCGGGAUUGCAUUUGAAACUGAGUUUCUUGAGGGCAGGAGAGGAAAGCAGAAUUCCUGGUGUAGCGGUGAAAUGCGUAGAAAUCAGGAGGAAUACCAGUGGCGAAGGCGGCUUUCUGGACUGACCCUGACGCUGAGGUGCGAAAGCGUGGGUAGCAAACAGG